AUUGAAAGUAUAAUAUCACUCAAUACUCAACUUCUGUAUUUAUUAGUGCAUUUGAAUGAAGUCUGGAUUGCAUGGAUAUGGGCACAACUAAAUCUCUCAAACUAGAAUAGGAGUAUGAAUGGGAUGAUAUAUUAUAAGAAAUAUAGAAACAUAAACUUCUUUCUUAACGAUCUUGCUGUGAAAUUUACCUGGCUCUUCGUAAAUGGAUUUCAAGGUUUUAUGUGUGGCCUUAUCUAGAGACUUAUUCAGAGGUAAUUUGAAUUGUUCACUUGCCCAUGAAACAUUAUUAGGAUUUAAGCAAUUUCUUACCUUAAUUUAGAUUUGUAUCAUUUCCAUUUAAUAUUGAUGGCUGAGUAUGUCAACAGGACGUUGCCAGUGAAAUUGCUGCUGAGUUUACAAGGUUAUCCUGACUUCAUCACUGGAAAAUAGAGUGAUGGGAAUCUUGUUGCAUCUUUAUUGGCUUAUAAAAUGGGAGUUACAAUAGUUAUUGUCCCCCUUCUUUCUUAUCUUACUUUGCCUUUCGAAAGUCAAUUCACUACUGAUUUAAUAGCCAUGAAUAGCACUGAUUUUAUCAUCACCAGUACCUACCAAGAGAUUGCAGGAACAUAAGUAUAACAUACCUAGUAAUUUCUUGUCUUUGAAACCUCUCUAAGAGGCAUUUGGGCUAGUUACUAUUUUGCUUAAGCAUCUCUCUAGGCAUCUUUAUAUAUCUUUAUAUAGACAUCAUUCAUUUGUUACAUUAUUUUAUUGUUCAUCUGGUUAAAAGUUUCCUUUUUGCCUCUCUUACGGAUGUUAUUAUUAUGGGUUAUUGCUUCAAAUCUUGAAACUGGUUUUCCCAGAUGAACAUUGUAAAGUGGUAGAGGACCUAUUUUUUGGGAUCUAAUUGGCUAAAUUGUAGAUAGAUUCAGAAGUGGUUUACUAGUAGCAGAAUUUUGGAGAUUGGCCGGUUUAACUAGGAGUUUGUUCAAACUUUUUGUAAGUUUUCAUCUUGAGAAACAUUAUUUUGCUUGACAGGCUCUAUCGUAUUAUAAAUAUUAGGACGUGUGUGAUAGGGGCAAUUGUAGAGGAUCUACAAUUUUACCUAUAUAUAUAUAUAUAUAUAUAUCCUUCUGAUUGUCAAUUCUGCUAUAUUCAUAUAAUAGCUUGGAAUAUUUUGAAACACCAUUGUUAGUUUCUUUCAAAUAUUAUGAAAUCAAUUGCAUAGGUUGGCUGUGCUCAUAGUACUAUUUUUUAUUAUAACAUAUCACUUAAUAAUGAAGGCAUAUUAAAAUACUCCUUCCUUUCCGGAUAUUUUAAUUUUUUUUUUUCUUAUUGGAAUUUAAGAAGACAUCUUUGCACUCUUACAGGAUAUCAUGAUCAUGGUCGGACAGUUUUCUCAGUUCAUUGCUGCCUUUGUUAAUGCAAUUUCUAUCUAUAAUAAAUGUGUGGCUUUGAGAAUGCCAUUAUUUUUAUGUAUGUCUAAUCCUGAUAUUGAUGAUAUCAGAGUAAGUAACAUUAUUAUGCAAUAAGGGAACUAUUAUGUUAUGGCCAACCUCCUUUAAUGAGUUAAUCUUAAAUCUAAUACUGAUCUCAGAAUCCAAUUUAUGAUAUUUACUUUAAUAAAGAAUGCAUAGUGGAAUUUCUUAGUGGUUUGUAUAUGGUGAGUUGCUACUAUUUUCAUUUUGCAUCUAAUUUAAUCUUUGCAGCUCUGUUUGGUCAAUAUAACCAUAUGUAAAAUGAAAUCUUCAAUUUGUUCUCUGUCUUUUACACUCUGGCUCAUUCUCUCCAUUACUUGAAAAUAUAGUUGAGUAGAAAGCCAAGGACAAGGAAUGCACUUGCUAACUAAAAUGAGCUUCUUGUCUCAUUUGAGAUGCAAGAUAUCUUACUGCCUUCUGCUACAAGUGGUGUUAAAGACCUUCAUAUUUCUCCUUCUAAUAGUAGUAUGGCUCCCUUUUCUUCAUUGGGGAAGAAACUAUCAGUGCUCAGGAUCCUGCAUGGUCUUGUUCGUGGGAUCUGAACAAUUCGCAUAACAUAUAUGCUGGACUACAUUGGCUUCUCAUGUGGGACGACCUUGUCCUUGGCUUUCUACUCUUUCAGACGUGUACAUAGGAAGCCAACUCUUGCUUCACUUCCUUUCCACAAGGGCCACCGUAACCAACUUCUCCUCUCUUCAAUUCUUCUUCUCUUAAGGUAGAAGAUGCUCCAAUAUCUGUUUGCAUUUUCCAGUUAAUGGAAACAAUUUAUUCCAGUGCUACAAUAGAAUGCAUGCCAAACAUCUGAUGGUGAAAUAAUUUCAAAUAUUCCAGUGCUACAUGAACUAUGAUUUGUGAUAUCUUAGUUUGGUUAAUCUAAUAUUUCAUAGCUUAAUAUUUCAUGACUUGAAAAUAAUCUUA
Long non-coding RNA from Vigna radiata var. radiata (mung bean), 2372 nucleotides. RefSeq lists it as uncharacterized. NCBI's taxonomy places the organism in Eukaryota, Viridiplantae, Streptophyta, Magnoliopsida, Fabales, Fabaceae. The record is from RefSeq and is a predicted model, not a curated record. The transcript is spliced from 5 exons.